UAUGGAUGUAGUUGAUUAUUCACCAUUACGCGGUGACGCCUCAUCUCACUUCAAAACCCUCUUCUACCCAACUGCGCGCAUAUAUUUUCUUAGCUUAGAAAAUUUUUAUUUGCUAUUAUAGCGAUUGCCUUUUUGAUCACUUGUUAUAUUGAUUAGACUUGCAUAGUCUGUUAUUGUGAGGUUUUUCCCAAGCAUUCGCUAAGUGUAUGUGUAGAUCUGGUAAUUUUUUUUAAAAGAUACCUUGAUUAUUGAUAUUCCUAUUUUUAAAAACAAUCCUGACAUGUAAAACCAAACUGAAAUUAUAUAUACGUUCAGUUUGAUUUUAUAUCUAGCUUUCUUUGCGCUCUCAAAAAGACAGUAAUUUUAUUCAUACUAACUGUCUGUCCUCCAGCUGCACAAAAUAGCUGAUAAAGAAGCUAUGAUAAGUAUUUCGUUCAAUAGCACACAAUUGCAACAAUGCAUUAUGUAUGCUCUUAGUAGUCAACGAUGAUGUAAACUUAUGCUACUAAUUCAGUAAUAUUCAAGUCGUAUUCUUUUGGCUUGCCGACAUAUUGGUUAUUGAUCAAUAAAAGCUGUUGCAAUGGAUGAAGCCUUAAUUAGGUUGUCCAGACACGGUUGUCAAUUAUCGUCUAAUUUUAAAAUAGAUUCUUUAAGAUUUUGACAAAUAUGUUUUUUUCUAUGAUCUAAUCAAAUCCCAUUUUUCAUGUGAAAUUUCGGGAAUAAGAAUUCAUCUAUCUAUGUUUACGAAUUAAUGUAUUAUUAUCCACUUAUUGGCGAUUGAGAUUAUAUUGAGCAUGUGAUGAGCUGUUGCAAAGUUUCUUAAUUUAUAAGCCGAUAUAAGGUGCCUUAACUUUACGGUGUGGGACAGGAACAUAUACCUUUUGUUAGAGAACAUUGCAUUUUUUAAUUUAUAUCUAAAUGUCUUUACAUGGUGACAACAGUGUUAGCUAAUGUUUAUGAGGGUGAAGCUGUGUCUUUGUAUUACUUACUGCAAUGUUAUGGAUAACUGCUGAGCAUUAAAGAAAUAAAAUUAAUGAUUCUAUAUCAGCUAACAAAUAGAAGCUAAAUAUUCAAUGAGUUGUGUUCUGAACAGGGUUUGGCAUCAAAAGCAAGCAUCUAUAUCUACAAAAGAAAUUGAUGCUUGAUAUAAUUCUGCAUAGGUUGACUAUUGUAUCAACCAAACAAAGCUUACCAAAGCUUUAGAUUUCAUUUGUGUAUUCAUGAGUCUAAACAGUUCAUGGCAGCUCUGAAAGAACUCAUAAAACAUUAGCUUCUACUUUGACAAAGCUAUCAUAAUACACAACCACAUCAUUUUGUAAUCAUCUACAUAAAAGAGGUGAAGGUGAUGCUAGCAAUCCAUGGUGGGGAUGCUGGCAAGGGGUAGUGUCAGAGCUAUACCGUCGGGAACUUCGGUUCCUGGUAGGGCCACCCAAGGCAGAUUGGUCUGACACCGAGUGGUAUUAGGGCCACAACCCGGCAGAUGGGGCUCAGGUGAAAAUCCUCUGAGUGUCUGCCUCGGCAACUGGCGGCUCCUCGGUCGUUCUGUCCCUGCGUCUGCGGCAAACAGGUUGUCUCCACAUGCAGGAUUGUUGGGGAUUGCUUGUGAAAUCCACUUAUUCCCACGAAACUUCUUCCAUGAGUAGAAGAAGCUGACUCAACCCACCCAGGGCGAAUGUCGCCACAACACAAGACCAGCAACUCUGAGGGGAGAGAUUAGUCACAGUAUUAUACUAGUCAGGUGACUAAUAUUUUAUUGCAUCAACAUCAAGAGGAUGAAAAGCAAAGCUGACCAAAGCAGGAUUUGAAAUCAGAAUAUGACUGGAAGAAAUACUUCAAGUCACUUACAGAUGAAGCUAGCUCCCAUACACAAUGGACCAUAAAACAACAAAUAAGCUGUGGACACAAACAUCUUGAAGAAGAUAUCUUCUACAUUGUAAUGACCAUAAUAACCAUAUAAAUAAAAUGACAAUCUCA
Octopus sinensis (East Asian common octopus) is the source of this 1974-nucleotide long non-coding RNA. RefSeq lists it as uncharacterized. Lineage: Eukaryota; Metazoa; Mollusca; Cephalopoda; Octopoda; Octopodidae. The transcript is spliced from 3 exons. The record is from RefSeq and is a predicted model, not a curated record.